Molecule: ribosomal RNA, 490 nt
Filed under: uncultured bacterium
Lineage: Bacteria
Description: bacterial SSU rRNA
Rfam family: Bacterial small subunit ribosomal RNA
Source: RNAcentral
AGGAUGAACGCUAGCGGCAGGCUUAAUACAUGCAAGUCGAGGGGCAGCAUGACUGUAGCAAUACAGUUGAUGGCGACCGGCAAACGGGUGCGGAACACGUACAGAACCUUCCUUCGAGCGGGGAAUAGCCCAGAGAAAUUUGGAUUAAUACCCCAUAGUAUAUUAGAGUGGCAUCACUUUGAUAUUAAAGAUUUAUCACUUGAAGAUGGCUGUGCGGCUGAUUAGGUAGUUGGCGGGGUAACGGCCCACCAAGCCUUCGAUCAGUAACUGGUGUGAGAGCACGACCAGUCACACGGGCACUGAGACACGGGCCCGACUCCUACGGGAGGCAGCAGUAAGGAAUAUUGGUCAAUGGACGAAAGUCUGAACCAGCCAUGCCGCGUGGAGGAUGAAGGUCCUCUGGAUUGUAAACUUCUUUUAUAUGGGACGAAAAAAGGGUUUUCUAACUCGUCUGACGGUACCAUAUGAAUAAGCACCGGCUAACUCCGUG